GCCACUGCCUCCACAACGUCCCACCAGCCUCACGGCCUUGCUCCAAUCUUGAUAUUCCAUGGAGGCAACGGGAAGGGAGAGGCAAUAAUCUAGGCUCCAGCAUUCUCUGCUAGGCGGCUCCCAGGGCAGCGAUUGCAGCGACCGGCAGAUGUUGCAUUCCGUCGGAUCCUCAAGUCGCCCAGGCUGAGAGAAUGAGUACGAUAUGGAGAUGGGGUGAGGGACGGACGGGCAAGAGAACAGAUCGAGAGGAGCCAGCCGCCAGAGGAGGCGGCUCAAGAAUAACAUAUUGGAUGACAAAUUUCUUUAGCAUCUCCAUCUGACUUCAAGAAAGUGCUUAUUGAAACCUGAAACAUAUAGAAGUAACCAACCGAGAUUAUGCCAACUUCUUUUAAGUGGAAGAUCUGUAUAGCUUCUAUUGAGGGUGCGUGUCAGAUAAAUCAUUGCACAAAGCAUCAAGGUUCAAAAAGAACAAAGGAUAUUGACACACUACUCGUGGUAGAGUUUGAUAUCGUGAUCUCUUGCGGUAUGAAAAUUAUUUGGUUUGAAGAUAUCAUAAGAUACACUCCUGGGAGGGUUU
Molecule: long non-coding RNA, 577 nt
Organism: Triticum dicoccoides
Lineage: Eukaryota; Viridiplantae; Streptophyta; Magnoliopsida; Poales; Poaceae
Exons: 4
Source: RefSeq, a predicted model, not a curated record